This 1513-nucleotide ribosomal RNA is filed under the name Streptococcus equinus. RNAcentral's name for it is "bacterial SSU rRNA". It matches the Rfam family "Bacterial small subunit ribosomal RNA". Lineage: Bacteria; Bacillati; Bacillota; Bacilli; Lactobacillales; Streptococcaceae. The record is from RNAcentral.
UAGAGUUUGAUCCUGGCUCAGGACGAACGCUGGCGGCGUGCCUAAUACAUGCAAGUAGAACGCUGAAGAGAGGAGCUUGCUCUUCUUGGAUGAGUUGCGAACGGGUGAGUAACGCGUAGGUAACCUGCCUUGUAGCGGGGGAUAACUAUUGGAAACGAUAGCUAAUACCGCAUAACAAUGGAUGACACAUGUCAUUUAUUUGAAAGGGGCAAUUGCUCCACUACAAGAUGGACCUGCGUUGUAUUAGCUAGUAGGUGAGGUAACGGCUCACCUAGGCGACGAUACAUAGCCGACCUGAGAGGGUGAUCGGCCACACUGGGACUGAGACACGGCCCAGACUCCUACGGGAGGCAGCAGUAGGGAAUCUUCGGCAAUGGGGGCAACCCUGACCGAGCAACGCCGCGUGAGUGAAGAAGGUUUUCGGAUCGUAAAGCUCUGUUGUAAGUCAAGAACGAGUGUGAGAGUGGAAAGUUCACACUGUGACGGUAGCUUACCAGAAAGGGACGGCUAACUACGUGCCAGCAGCCGCGGUAAUACGUAGGUCCCGAGCGUUGUCCGGAUUUAUUGGGCGUAAAGCGAGCGCAGGCGGUUUGAUAAGUCUGAAGUUAAAGGCUGUGGCUCAACCAUAGUUCGCUUUGGAAACUGUCAAACUUGAGUGCAGAAGGGGAGAGUGGAAUUCCAUGUGUAGCGGUGAAAUGCGUAGAUAUAUGGAGGAACACCGGUGGCGAAAGCGGCUCUCUGGUCUGUAACUGACGCUGAGGCUCGAAAGCGUGGGGAGCGAACAGGAUUAGAUACCCUGGUAGUCCACGCCGUAAACGAUGAGUGCUAGGUGUUGGAUCCUUUCCGGGAUUCAGUGCCGCAGCUAACGCAUUAAGCACUCCGCCUGGGGAGUACGACCGCAAGGUUGAAACUCAAAGGAAUUGACGGGGGCCCGCACAAGCGGUGGAGCAUGUGGUUUAAUUCGAAGCAACGCGAAGAACCUUACCAGGUCUUGACAUCCCGAUGCUAUUUCUAGAGAUAGAAAGUUACUUCGGUACAUCGGUGACAGGUGGUGCAUGGUUGUCGUCAGCUCGUGUCGUGAGAUGUUGGGUUAAGUCCCGCAACGAGCGCAACCCCUAUUGUUAGUUGCCAUCAUUCAGUUGGGCACUCUAGCGAGACUGCCGGUAAUAAACCGGAGGAAGGUGGGGAUGACGUCAAAUCAUCAUGCCCCUUAUGACCUGGGCUACACACGUGCUACAAUGGUUGGUACAACGAGUUGCGAGUCGGUGACGGCAAGCUAAUCUCUUAAAGCCAAUCUCAGUUCGGAUUGUAGGCUGCAACUCGCCUACAUGAAGUCGGAAUCGCUAGUAAUCGCGGAUCAGCACGCCGCGGUGAAUACGUUCCCGGGCCUUGUACACACCGCCCGUCACACCACGAGAGUUUGUAACACCCGAAGUCGGUGAGGUAACCUUUUGGAGCCAGCCGCCUAAGGUGGGAUAGAUGAUUGGGGUGAAGUCGUAACAAGGUAGCCGUA